GACGAACUGUCCUAACGUUGUUCGGAAUCACUGGGCUUAAAGGGCGCGUAGGCGGUCCAUCAAGUCAGGGGUGAAAUCCUGCAGCUCAACUGCAGAAGUGCCUCUGAUACUGGUGGUCUGGAGGGAGAUAGGGGUGUGUGGAACUCACAGUGGAGCGGUGAAAUGCGUUGAUAUUGUGAGGAACGCCGGAGGCGAAAGCGACGCACUGGAUCUCUUCUGACGCUGAGGCGCGAAAGCUAGGGGAGCAAACGGG
Molecule: ribosomal RNA, 253 nt
Filed under: uncultured bacterium
Lineage: Bacteria
Description: partial 16S ribosomal RNA
Rfam family: Bacterial small subunit ribosomal RNA
Source: RNAcentral